CGCGUAGGUGGUUAGAUAAGCGAGAUGUGAAAGCCCCGGGCUUAACCUGGGAACGGCAUUUCGAACUGUCUGACUAGAGUAUGGUAGAGGGUAGUGGAAUUUCCUGUGUAGCGGUGAAAUGCGUAGAUAUAGGAAGGAACACCAGUGGCGAAGGCGGCUACCUGGACCAAUACUGACACUGAGGUGCGAAAGCGUGGGGAGCAAACA
This 207-nucleotide ribosomal RNA is filed under the name uncultured bacterium. RNAcentral describes it as "partial 16S ribosomal RNA". It matches the Rfam family "Bacterial small subunit ribosomal RNA", at positions 568 to 774 of the family's 1533-position model. The record is from RNAcentral.